CUUCCUCUAACACAGCAUCACAGCGCUGUCUGUAGAGCACUGAGGAAUGAUGAUCUGAGGUAACGUCAGCCUCAGGUAGGUUAUGAUGAUGAGGGGGUGCUUAUGGCAUUUGAGGGUCUUCCCUCUGGGUUUUACACAAUGGCCCUCAGACCGCCAAGACGCCUAUCUCCUCAGCUCCCAGAAAUGGCUACAGCCGGCAGCUUAGGGAGAGUGCAUUUUCUUAAUCGAUAAGUGGAGGAGAAACACAGCACAGCUUUCAGGAUGAUCUAUUCUAAAAACACUGUGCAUGAUGGGAUAGAGAGAAAGUUGAUUUGAAUUACAAGUUUAAACCCUUGUUAUCUCCCAGAUGAACUAGUGAUUGUCACUAACUGGGAAGUGAUAGCUUUGCACACUUGGCAGACUUCUCAUGUCUAAUACAGUCAAAGACGGGCUGGUUUUAUGUUAGCUGUCAUUGGUAAUGGUAUUUGUCUAAGUGAUUUAUUGGUGAGAAUUUGGGCAGGGUGACAGCCUCCUGUUUUGAUGGCAAGACAGAUGGGGAGUCUGUUAUGUGAAUCUAGGUGGGCUUAGUCUGAUGUCACUAUCCUGGCUCAUGACCUUAUAAAUGAGUGCUAACAUGAACAGGUUAUUCCUAUUGCGACCCACUUCUAUUUCGAAAAUAAGUCUUAGAUCUUAAUUUUUAUCUCCAUGUUGGAGUGCAUAUCUUCAAGAAGUAUCCUGCCAAGAGUGUUUAUCAAUAUGGAAUCAUGAGCUGUCGCUGGUUAGUAGGUCUCUGGAUCACCCAGGAGCAGGGCGUGCCCUUGACACUGUGAUAGGUCACCCCACAGCUCCACGUCCUUUAAAACCAGUCAAUCUGGAGGCCAUAGAAAUCAACUUUGUGGUUGGAUGGGGCGAAGACACAACCAGUCUUUUCCUAUUUAUUGUUGUUUAGAUAAAACAGUAUUAAUGGAAUGUUUUUCACCUUUCCACUGGUUGUUUUGAUAUUGUUUAAAAUGUAUAUUUAGAAUGGAAUCAUCUAAAAAGCUGAUCUUGCUAACCUCCUGUUGCCUACAAAGGGAAAUGUCACAAGAAUGUGUAAAAAUAAAAAUCUAAGAAAAAACCUCACAUUGUUCCUAAAGAGAAUGAAUGUUU
This 1128-nucleotide long non-coding RNA is filed under the name Equus asinus (donkey). RNAcentral describes it as "lncRNA (ENSEASG00005037857.1)". The record is from RNAcentral. Lineage: Eukaryota; Metazoa; Chordata; Mammalia; Perissodactyla; Equidae.